RNAcentral lists this ribosomal RNA (1394 nucleotides) under Acinetobacter calcoaceticus. Its description in RNAcentral is "bacterial SSU rRNA". It matches the Rfam family "Bacterial small subunit ribosomal RNA". The record is from RNAcentral. Lineage: Bacteria; Pseudomonadati; Pseudomonadota; Gammaproteobacteria; Moraxellales; Moraxellaceae.
AGUCGAGCGGAGAGAGGUAGCUUGCUAUCGAUCUUAGCGGCGGACGGGUGAGUAAUGCUUAGGAAUCUGCCUAUUAGUGGGGGACAACAUUUCGAAAGGAAUGCUAAUACCGCAUACGUCCUACGGGAGAAAGCAGGGGAUCUUCGGACCUUGCGCUAAUAGAUGAGCCUAAGUCGGAUUAGCUAGUUGGUGGGGUAAAGGCCUACCAAGGCGACGAUCUGUAGCGGGUCUGAGAGGAUGAUCCGCCACACUGGGACUGAGACACGGCCCAGACUCCUACGGGAGGCAGCAGUGGGGAAUAUUGGACAAUGGGCGCAAGCCUGAUCCAGCCAUGCCGCGUGUGUGAAGAAGGCCUUAUGGUUGUAAAGCACUUUAAGCGAGGAGGAGGCUACUUUAGAUAAUACCUAGAGAUAGUGGACGUUACUCGCAGAAUAAGCACCGGCUAACUCUGUGCCAGCAGCCGCGGUAAUACAGAGGGUGCAAGCGUUAAUCGGAUUUACUGGGCGUAAAGCGCGCGUAGGCGGCUAAUUAAGUCAAAUGUGAAAUCCCCGAGCUUAACUUGGGAAUUGCAUUCGAUACUGGUUAGCUAGAGUGUGGGAGAGGAUGGUAGAAUUCCAGGUGUAGCGGUGAAAUGCGUAGAGAUCUGGAGGAAUACCGAUGGCGAAGGCAGCCAUCUGGCCUAACACUGACGCUGAGUGCGAAAGCAUGGGGAGCAAACAGGAUUAGAUACCCUGGUAGUCCAUGCCGUAAACGAUGUCUACUAGCCGUUGGGGCCUUUGAGGCUUUAGUGGCGCAGCUAACGCGAUAAGUAGACCGCCUGGGGAGUACGGUCGCAAGACUAAAACUCAAAUGAAUUGACGGGGGCCCGCACAAGCGGUGGAGCAUGUGGUUUAAUUCGAUGCAACGCGAAGAACCUUACCUGGCCUUGACAUAGUAAGAACUUACCAGAGAUGGAUUGGUGCCUUCGGGAACUUACAUACAGGUGCUGCAUGGCUGUCGUCAGCUCGUGUCGGAGAUGUUGGGUUAAGUCCCGCAACGAGCGCAACCCUUUUCCUUAUUUGCCAGCGAGUAAUGUCGGGAACUUUAAGGAUACUGCCAGUGACAAACUGGAGGAAGGCGGGGACGACGUCAAGUCAUCAUGGCCCUUACGGCCAGGGCUACACACGUGCUACAAUGGUCGGUACAAAGGGUUGCUACCUAGCGAUAGGAUGCUAAUCUCAAAAAGCCGAUCGUAGUCCGGAUUGGAGUCUGCAACUCGACUCCAUGAAGUCGGAAUCGCUAGUAAUCGCGGAUCAGAAUGCCGCGGUGAAUACGUUCCCGGGCCUUGUACACACCGCCCGUCACACCAUGGGAGUUUGUUGCACCAGAAGUAGGUAGCCUAACGCAAAGAGGGC